UACGGAGGGUGCAAGCGUUAUCCGGAUUUAUUGGGCGUAAAGCGUUUCGUAGGCGGACCGACAAGUUAUUUUUCAAAGACCAGGGCUCAACCUUGGAAAGGGGAAUAAUACUGUCGGCCUGGAAGUAUGUCGGGGCUACUGGAACUCACGGUGUAGGAGUGAAAUCCGUUGAUAUCGUGAGGAACACCGAGGGCGAAGGCGGGUAGCUAGGCAUAUCUUGACGCUGAGGAACGACAGCUAGGGGAGCGAAAGGG
This 254-nucleotide ribosomal RNA is filed under the name uncultured bacterium. RNAcentral describes it as "partial 16S ribosomal RNA". It matches the Rfam family "Bacterial small subunit ribosomal RNA", at positions 524 to 776 of the family's 1533-position model. The record is from RNAcentral.